Molecule: ribosomal RNA, 430 nt
Filed under: Bacteroidota bacterium
Lineage: Bacteria; Pseudomonadati; Bacteroidota
Description: Bacteroidetes bacterium partial 16S ribosomal RNA
Rfam family: Bacterial small subunit ribosomal RNA
Source: RNAcentral
UAGGGAAUCUUCGGCAAUGGGGGGAACCCUGACCGAGCAACGCCGCGUGAGUGAAGAAGGUUUUCGGAUCGUAAAGCUCUGUUGUUAAGGAAGAACGAGUGUGAGAAUGGAAAGUUCAUACUGUGACGGUACCUAAUCAGAAAGCCACGGCUAACUACGUGCCAGCAGCCGCGGUAAUACGUAGGUGGCAAGCGUUAUCCGGAAUUAUUGGGCGUAAAGCGCGCGUAGGCGGUUUUUUAAGUCUGAUGUGAAAGCCCACGGCUCAACCGUGGAGGGUCAUUGGAAACUGGAAAACUUGAGGGCAGAAGAGGAAAGUGGAAUUCCAUGUGUAGCGGUGAAAUGCGCAGAGAUAUGGAGGAACACCAGUGGCGAAGGCGACUUUCUGGUCUGUAACUGACGCUGAUGUGCGAAAGCGUGGGGAUCAAACAGG